AGUGAACGCUGGCGGCGUGCUUAACACAUGCAAGUCGAACGAGAACGGAUUAUAGCUUGCUAUAAUUGUCAGCUAAGUGGCGCACGGGUGAGUAAUGUAUAGGUAAUAUGCCUCUUACUAAGGGAUAACAAAUGGAAACGUUUGCUAAUACCUUAUACUCCUUAUUAACAGAAGUUAAUAAGGGAAAGAUUUAUUGGUAAGAGAUUAGCCUGUAUUGUAUCAGUUAGUUGGUGGGGUAAUGGCUUACCAAGACUAUGACACAUAACUGGUUUGAGAGGAUGAUCAGUCACACUGGAACUGAGACACGGUCCAGACUCCUACGGGAGGCAGCAGUGAGGAAUAUUGCACAAUGGACGAAAGUCUGAUGAAGCAACGCCGCGUGGAGGAUGACACAUUUCGGUGCGUAAACUCCUUUUAUAUGAGAAGAUAAUGACGGUAUUAUAUGAAUAAGCACCGGCUAACUCCGUGCCAGCCGCCGCAGUAA
This 484-nucleotide ribosomal RNA is filed under the name uncultured bacterium. Its description in RNAcentral is "partial 16S ribosomal RNA". It matches the Rfam family "Bacterial small subunit ribosomal RNA", at positions 29 to 523 of the family's 1533-position model. The record is from RNAcentral.